UAUAGAUGGAUCCGCGCUGCAUUAGCUAGUUGGUAAGGUAACGGCUUACCAAGGCAACGAUGCAUAGCCGACCUGAGAGGGUGAUCGGCCACACUGGAACUGAGACACGGUCCAGACUCCUACGGGAGGCAGCAGUAGGGAAUCUUCCGCAAUGGGCGAAAGCCUGACGGAGCAACGCCGCGUGAGUGAUGAAGGUCUUCGGAUCGUAAAACUCUGUUAUUAGGGAAGAACAUAUGUGUAAGUAACUGUGCACAUCUUGACGGUACCUAAUCAGAAAGCCACGGCUAACUACGUGCCAGCAGCCGCGGUAAUACGUAGGUGGCAAGCGUUAUCCGGAAUUAUUGGGCGUAAAGCGCGCGUAGGCGGUUUUUUAAGUCUGAUGUGAAAGCCCACGGCUCAACCGUGGAGGGUCAUUGGAAACUGGAAAACUUGAGUGCAGAAGAGGAAAGUGGAAUUCCAUGUGUAGCGGUGAAAUGCGCAGAGAUAUGGAGGAACACCAGUGGCGAAGGCGACUUUCUGGUCUGUAACUGACGCUGAUGUGCGAAAGCGUGGGGAUCAAACAGGAUUAGAUACCCUGGUAGUCCACGCCGUAAACGAUGAG
This 601-nucleotide ribosomal RNA is filed under the name Staphylococcus aureus. RNAcentral's name for it is "bacterial SSU rRNA". It matches the Rfam family "Bacterial small subunit ribosomal RNA", at positions 220 to 813 of the family's 1533-position model. The record is from RNAcentral. Lineage: Bacteria; Bacillati; Bacillota; Bacilli; Caryophanales; Staphylococcaceae. RNAcentral also lists the same sequence under 1 other name.